GAUGAACGCUAGCGAUAGGCCUAACACAUGCAAGUCGAGGGGCAGCACGAAAGCGUAGCAAUACAAUUUUGGUGGCGACCGGCGCACGGGUGAGUAACGCGUAUGCAACCUACCUACUACUUUGGGAUAGCUCGUUGAAAGACGAAUUAAUACCUUAUAAAACAGGGGCUCCGCAUGGAGAUAUUUGUUAAAGAUUUAUCGGUAGUAGAUGGGCAUGCGUUCCAUUAGUUAGUUGGUGAGGUAACGGCUCACCAAGACAACGAUGGAUAGGGGAACUGAGAGGUUUGUCCCCCACACUGGAACUGAGACACGGUCCAGACUCCUACGGGAGGCAGCAGUGAGGAAUAUUGGUCAAUGGAGGCAACUCUGAACCAGCCAAGUCGCGUGAAGGAUGACUGCCCUACGGGUUGUAAACUUCUUUUUUAAGGGAAUAAAGUGAGCCACGUGUGGCUUUUUGCAUGUAC
This 464-nucleotide ribosomal RNA is filed under the name uncultured bacterium. RNAcentral's name for it is "SSU rRNA". It matches the Rfam family "Bacterial small subunit ribosomal RNA", at positions 28 to 478 of the family's 1533-position model. The record is from RNAcentral.